Molecule: unclassified non-coding RNA, 312 nt
Filed under: plant metagenome
Description: partial contains 5.8S ribosomal RNA, internal transcribed spacer 2, and large subunit ribosomal RNA
Rfam family: 5.8S ribosomal RNA (bases 1-105)
Source: RNAcentral
GAAAUGCGAUAAGUGAUGUGAAUUGCAGAAUUCCGUGAAUCAUCGAAUCUUUGAACGCACAUUGCGCCCUCUGGCAUUCCGGGGGGCAUGCCUGUCCGAGCGUCAUUACGCACCCUCAAGCCCGGCUUGUGUGAUGGGCCCCGGCGUCUCGUUCGCGAGACGGGCCCGAAAGGCAGCGGCGGCGUCGACCCGAUGAGCCCGAGCGUAUGGGGACUUCUGUCACACGUUCGCGGUGCGGACCGGCGCCUGCUUGACUUUUCUGAUUAUCCAGGUUGACCUCGGAUCAGGUAGGGAUACCCGCUGAACUUAAGC